UACGAAGGGGGCUAGCGUUGUUCGGAUUUACUGGGCGUAAAGCGCACGUAGGCGGACCAUUAAGUCAGGGGUGAAAUCCCGGAGCUCAACUCCGGAACUGCCUUUGAUACUGGUGGUCUAGAGACCGAGAGAGGUAAGUGGAACUCCUAGUGUAGAGGUGGAAUUCGUAGAUAUUAGGAAGAACACCAGUGGCGAAGGCGGCUUACUGGCUCGGAACUGACGCUGAGGUGCGAAAGCGUGGGGAGCAAACAGG
Molecule: unclassified non-coding RNA, 253 nt
Filed under: uncultured Alphaproteobacteria bacterium
Lineage: Bacteria; Pseudomonadati; Pseudomonadota; Alphaproteobacteria
Description: contains 16S-23S intergenic spacer region
Rfam family: Bacterial small subunit ribosomal RNA
Source: RNAcentral